AAUCAACGGCUGGCGGCGUGCCUCAGACAUGCAAGUCGAACGAUUAAAAGCUCUCUUCGGAGAGUGCAUAGAGUGGCGCACGGGUGAGUAACACGUAAGUAAUCUACCCUCGAGUGGGGAAUAACGUCCGGAAACGGACGCUAAUACCGCAUAAUGCAGCGGCACCGCAAGGUGACAGUUGUUAAAGAUUUAUCGCUUGAGGAGGAGCUUGCGGCAGAUUAGCUAGUUGGUAAGGUAAUGGCUUACCAAGGCUACGAUCUGUAACCGGUCUUAGAGGACGGUCGGUCACACUGACACUGAAUAACGGGUCAGACUCCUACGGGAGGCAGCAGUCGGGAAUUUUGGGCAAUGGGCGAAAGCCUGACCCAGCAACGCCGCGUGAAGGAUGAAGUAUUUCGGUAUGUAAACUUCGAAAGAAUAGGAAGAAUAAAUGACGGUACUAUUUAUAAGGUCCGGCUAACUACGUG
This 467-nucleotide ribosomal RNA is filed under the name uncultured bacterium. Its description in RNAcentral is "bacterial SSU rRNA". It matches the Rfam family "Bacterial small subunit ribosomal RNA", at positions 35 to 507 of the family's 1533-position model. The record is from RNAcentral.